RNAcentral lists this ribosomal RNA (656 nucleotides) under uncultured fungus. RNAcentral describes it as "eukaryotic LSU rRNA". It matches the Rfam family "Eukaryotic large subunit ribosomal RNA", at positions 23 to 664 of the family's 3401-position model. Lineage: Eukaryota; Fungi. The record is from RNAcentral.
ACCUGCUGAACUUAAGCAUAUCAAUAAGCGGAGGAAAAGAAACUAACAAGGAUUCCCCUAGUAACUGCGAGUGAAGCGGGAAAAGCUCAAAUUUAAAAUCUGGUAGUCUUUGGCUGCCCGAGUUGUAAUCUAGAGAAGCGUUAUCCGCGCUGGACCGUGUAUAAGUCUCCUGGAAUGGAGCGUCAUAGAGGGUGAGAAUCCCGUCUUUAACACGGACUCCCAGGGCUUUGUGAUGCGCUCUCAAAGAGUCGAGUUGUUUGGGAAUGCAGCUCUAAAUGGGUGGUAAAUUCCAUCUAAAGCUAAAUAUUGGCGAGAGACCGAUAGCGAACAAGUACCGUGAGGGAAAGAUGAAAAGAACUUUGGAAAGAGAGUUAAACAGUACGUGAAAUUGUUGAAAGGGAAACGCUUGAAGUCAGUCGCGUUGAUCAGGGAUCAACCUUGCUUUUGCUUGGUGUACUUCCUGGUUAACGGGUCAGCAUCAAUUUUGACCAGUGGAAAAAGGUCAGGGGAAUGUGGCAUCUUCGGAUGUGUUAUAGCCUCUGGUCAUAUACAUUGGUUGGGAUUGAGGAACUCAGCACGCCGCAAGGCCGGGUUUUACCACGUUCGUGCUUAGGAUGCUGGCAUAAUGGCUUUAAUCGACCCGUCUUGAAACACGG